AUGGUGAGAGGCUCACAAGCCCUUAUUCAUUAUAUUAUCUUCUUUCCUUGUUGCAAGUCAAUAGGUGAUUAAAAGAUCGAGAAAGUCGAGAAGGUCGAGAAGGCUGAGAAGACUAAGAGGCUGAGAAAGCUGAGAAAGUCAAGAAAGCUGAAAAAGCUAAAUAAGUCUAGUUCAUUGAAAGCCGAACUAGGCUCCAAACAAGUCUAGUUCAUCAGAAAGCCGAAUAAGUCUAGUUCAUCAG
Molecule: long non-coding RNA, 241 nt
Filed under: Elaeis guineensis (African oil palm)
Lineage: Eukaryota; Viridiplantae; Streptophyta; Magnoliopsida; Arecales; Arecaceae
Description: long non-coding RNA (EGUI_LNC020852)
Source: RNAcentral